RNAcentral lists this ribosomal RNA (636 nucleotides) under Methylobacterium sp. H9.42. RNAcentral's name for it is "bacterial SSU rRNA". It matches the Rfam family "Bacterial small subunit ribosomal RNA", at positions 84 to 755 of the family's 1533-position model. Lineage: Bacteria; Pseudomonadati; Pseudomonadota; Alphaproteobacteria; Hyphomicrobiales; Methylobacteriaceae. The record is from RNAcentral.
CUUCGGUGUCAGCGGCGGACGGGUGAGUAACGCGUGGGAACGUGCCUUCUGGUUCGGAAUAACUCAGGGAAACUUGAGCUAAUACCGGAUACGCCCUUUUGGGGAAAGGUUUACUGCCGGAAGAUCGGCCCGCGUCUGAUUAGCUAGUUGGUGGGGUAACGGCCUACCAAGGCGACGAUCAGUAGCUGGUCUGAGAGGAUGAUCAGCCACACUGGGACUGAGACACGGCCCAGACUCCUACGGGAGGCAGCAGUGGGGAAUAUUGGACAAUGGGCGCAAGCCUGAUCCAGCCAUGCCGCGUGAGUGAUGAAGGCCUUAGGGUUGUAAAGCUCUUUUAUCCGGGACGAUAAUGACGGUACCGGAGGAAUAAGCCCCGGCUAACUUCGUGCCAGCAGCCGCGGUAAUACGAAGGGGGCUAGCGUUGCUCGGAAUCACUGGGCGUAAAGGGCGCGUAGGCGGUCUUUUAAGUCGGGGGUGAAAGCCUGUGGCUCAACCACAGAAUUGCCUUCGAUACUGGGAGACUUGAGUUCGGAAGAGGUUGGUGGAACUGCGAGUGUAGAGGUGAAAUUCGUAGAUAUUCGCAAGAACACCGGUGGCGAAGGCGGCCAACUGGUCCGACACUGACGCUGAGGCGCG